RNAcentral lists this RNase P RNA (372 nucleotides) under Roseobacter sp. HKCCD7328. RNAcentral describes it as "RNase P RNA component class A". It matches the Rfam family "Bacterial RNase P class A". From Rfam's summary of the family: Ribonuclease P (RNase P) is a ubiquitous endoribonuclease, found in archaea, bacteria and eukarya as well as chloroplasts and mitochondria. The record is from RNAcentral. Lineage: Bacteria; Pseudomonadati; Pseudomonadota; Alphaproteobacteria; Rhodobacterales; Roseobacteraceae. RNAcentral also lists the same sequence under 214 other names.
GCGGAGGGUUGGAUGGCCGCGAGGCUUUUGUCUCGAGGAAAGUCCGGACUCCCUGAAGCAACGGUGCCGGGUAACGCCCGGGCGGAGCGAUCCGACGGAAAGCGCCACAGAAAACAGACCGCCCUCGUUCGCGGGGGUAAGGGUGAAACGGUGGGGUAAGGGCCCACCGCGCUUCUGGCAACAGCGGCGGCACGGCAAGCCCCACCGGGAGCAAUGCCAAAUAGGGAUUUCGCGGGGCCAGACCCCAGGGCCGCUUCAGCCCGAGAGGUCCGGGUUGGCAGCUAGAGCCAACGGGUAACCGUUGGCGUAGAGGAAUGGUCAUCUAGGGCGGCAACGCCUGGACAAAAUCCGGCUUACAGACUCUCCGCGCGA